Molecule: ribosomal RNA, 440 nt
Filed under: uncultured bacterium
Lineage: Bacteria
Description: partial 16S ribosomal RNA
Rfam family: Bacterial small subunit ribosomal RNA
Source: RNAcentral
CCUACGGGUGGCAGCAGUAGGCAAUUUUGCGCAAUGGGCGAAAGCCUGACGCAGCAACGCCGCGUGAUCGAGACGCCCUUCGGGGUGUAAAGAUCUGUCAGUGGGGACGAAACUUGACGGUACCCACAGAGGAAGCACCGGCUAAAUCCGUGCCAGCAGCCGCGGUAAUACGGGGGGGGCAAGCGUUGUCCGGAAUCAUUGGGCGGAAAGAGUUCGUAGGCGGCACGUAAAGGCUGGUGUUAAAGGCAGAGGGUCAACUUCUGUACGGCACUGGAUACUUGCGAGCUAGAAGGCGGUAGAGGUAAAGGGCAUUCCGGGUGUAGGGGGGAAAUGCUUAGAUAUCAGGAGGAACCUCGGGGGCGUAAGCGCUUUACUGGGCCGUAAUUGACGCUGAGGAACGAAAGCCAGGGUAGCAAAUGGGAUUAGAUACCCUUGUAGUC